Molecule: ribosomal RNA, 446 nt
Filed under: uncultured bacterium
Lineage: Bacteria
Description: partial 16S ribosomal RNA
Rfam family: Bacterial small subunit ribosomal RNA
Source: RNAcentral
AACGAACGCUGGCGGCAGGCUUAACACAUGCAAGUCGAACGCCCCGCAAGGGGAGUGGCAGACGGGUGAGUAACGCGUGGGAACGUACCCUUCGCUUCGGAAUAGCCCCGGGAAACUGGGUGUAAUACCGGAUACGCCGUAUUGGGAAAGAUUUAUCGGCGAAGGAUCGGCCCGCGUUGGAUUAGCUAGUUGGUGGGGGCAUGGCCUACCAAGGCGCCGAUCCAUAGCUGGUCUGAGAGGAUGAUCAGCCACACUGGGACUGAUACACGGCCCAGACUCCUACGGGAGGCAGCAGUGGGGAAUCUUGGACAAUGGGGGCAACCCUGAUCCAGCCAUGCCGCGUGAGUGAAGAAGGCCUUAGGGUUGUAAAACUCUUUCGCCGGUGAAGAUAAUGACGGUAACCGGAGAAGAAGCCCCGGCUAACUUCGUGCCAGCCGCCGCGGUAA